AACACAUGCAAGUCGAACGGUAACAUUUCUAGCUUGCUAGAAGAUGACGAGCGGCGGACGGGUGAGUAAUGCUUGGGAACAUGCCUUGAGGUGGGGGACAACCAUUGGAAACGAUGGCUAAUACCGCAUAAUGUCUACGGACCAAAGGGGGCUUCGGCUCUCGCCUUUAGAUUGGCCCAAGUGGGAUUAGCUAGUUGGUGAGGUAAAGGCUCACCAAGGCGACGAUGGGUAGCUGGUUUGAGAGGAUGAUCAGCCACACUGGAACUGAGACACGGUCCAGACUCCUACGGGAGGCAGCAGUGGGGA
RNAcentral lists this ribosomal RNA (306 nucleotides) under Pseudoalteromonas sp. 937J. RNAcentral's name for it is "bacterial SSU rRNA". It matches the Rfam family "Bacterial small subunit ribosomal RNA", at positions 50 to 360 of the family's 1533-position model. The record is from RNAcentral. Lineage: Bacteria; Pseudomonadati; Pseudomonadota; Gammaproteobacteria; Alteromonadales; Pseudoalteromonadaceae.